Molecule: ribosomal RNA, 519 nt
Filed under: uncultured bacterium
Lineage: Bacteria
Description: bacterial SSU rRNA
Rfam family: Bacterial small subunit ribosomal RNA
Source: RNAcentral
AGAGUUGAUCAUGGCUCAGGAUGAACGCUAGCGGCAGGCUUAACACAUGCAAGUCGAGGGGCAGCGGGAUGUAGCAAUACAUUGCCGGCGACCGGCGGAUGGGUGCGUAACGCGUAUGCAACCUACCUUAUACAGGGGAAUAACCUUUCGAAAGGGAGACUAACACCCCAUAGUAUUGAUUUAAGGCAUCUUAGAUUAAUUAAAUAUUUAUAGGUAUAAGAUGGGCAUGCGUAUGAUUAGCUAGUUGGUAAGGUAACGGCUUACCAAGGCGACGAUCAUUAGGGGUUCUGAGAGGAAGGUCCCCCACACUGGUACUGAGACACGGACCAGACUCCUACGGGAGGCAGCAGUGAGGAAUAUUGGUCAAUGGGCGCAAGCCUGAACCAGCCAUGCCGCGUGCAAGGAAGACGGCCUUAGUGGGUUGUAAACUGUCUUUUACAUAAGACUAACCGUAUAUUUGCGAAUAUACCUGAAUGUAUUAUGAGAAUAAGGAUCGGCUAACUCCGUGCCAGCAGCGGC